GAUAUACGGUCGAGAUGCUUGAGAUUGGCUGAUAAGAGCACUUUCGAGGCGGUGGCCGUCCAUAGAUUGCUUGGCCACCGGUUACCGCUGGAUUCGCGGCUGGCCAAAUCCGAAUGGUAUGAUAUUGUGGAAGGAGAACAUUCUCUAUGGAUGGGAGUAUCGAAAUUCGAAACCAUUCAGGGAAACCAUUCGAGUUUUUAUGGCUUAUUUUCAGAAUCAAGUCUUCCUUGCUGCAAACCCAGUUUUCCUGGAUCAGUUACGUAAUGUGGACUGUGUGGUUUAUGCCAUGUGAUCCUUCUUCACUUGUAUUUGCCCAUCACUGGUAUUGACUGGCAUUGGGGAGAUUAUAUCUUCAAAGUCCAACCUGAAGGUGCAUAUUCAUCACACUUUUGAGUUACAUGUUACCUGAUAUACUAAUACUCCAGAU
Molecule: non-coding RNA, 427 nt
Organism: Malus domestica (apple)
Lineage: Eukaryota; Viridiplantae; Streptophyta; Magnoliopsida; Rosales; Rosaceae
Source: RefSeq, a predicted model, not a curated record